CCCUUAGAUGUUCUGGGCCGCACGCGCGCUACACUGAUGCAUUCAACGAGCCUAUCCUUGACCGACAGGUCCGGGUAAUCUUUGAAUCUGCAUCGUGACGGGGAUAGAUUAUUGCAAUUAUUAAUCUUCAACGAGGAAUGCCUAGUAGGCGCAAGUCAUCAGCUUGCGUCGAUUACGUCCCUUCCCUUUGUACACACCGCCCGUCGCUCCUACCGAUUGGGUGUGCUGGUGAAAUGUUCGGAUCGGCCGUUUGUCGCGGUUUCCGCGUCAUGUGGCUGAGAAGUUCAUUAAACCCUCCCACCUAGAGGAAGGAGAAGUCGUAACA
This 325-nucleotide ribosomal RNA is filed under the name uncultured eukaryote. RNAcentral's name for it is "partial 18S ribosomal RNA". It matches the Rfam family "Eukaryotic small subunit ribosomal RNA", at positions 1470 to 1796 of the family's 1831-position model. The record is from RNAcentral.